RNAcentral lists this ribosomal RNA (886 nucleotides) under uncultured Bacteroidales bacterium. RNAcentral's name for it is "bacterial SSU rRNA". It matches the Rfam family "Bacterial small subunit ribosomal RNA", at positions 1 to 888 of the family's 1533-position model. The record is from RNAcentral. Lineage: Bacteria; Pseudomonadati; Bacteroidota; Bacteroidia; Bacteroidales.
UAGAGUUUGAUCAUGGCUCAGGAUGAACGCUAGCGGCAGGCUUAACACAUGCAAGUCGAGGGGCAGCGGGGAGUAGCAAUACUCUGCCGGCGACCGGCGAAAGGGUGCGUAACGCGUGAGCGACAUACCCGUGACUGGGGCAUAACCGAUGGAAACGUUGACUAAUUCCCCAUAACACAUCGUGCUGCAUGGCAUGGUGUUGAAAAUUUCGAUGGUCACGGAUUGGCUCGCGUCUGAUUAGCUAGUUGGUGGGGUAACGGCUCACCAAGGCGACGAUCAGUAGGGGCUCUGAGAGGAAGGUCCCCCACAAUGGAACUGAGACACGGUCCAUACUCCUACGGGAGGCAGCAGUGAGGAAUAUUGGUCAAUGGGCGGAAGCCUGAACCAGCCAUGCCGCGUGCAGGAUGACGGCCCUAUGGGUUGUAAACUGCUUUUGCUGUGGAGCAAUAAGGGUCACGCGCUGACCCGAUGAGAGUACACAGCGAAUAAGCAUCGGCUAACUCCGUGCCAGCAGCCGCGGUAAUACGGAGGAUGCGAGCGUUAUCCGGAUUUAUUGGGUUUAAAGGGUGCGUAGGCUGUGCGGUAAGUCAGAGGUGAAAGGUCCGCGCUCAACGCGGGAACUGCCUUUGAUACUGCCGUGCUGGAGUGCGGAUGCCGUUGGAGGAAUGAGUGGUGUAGCGGUGAAAUGCAUAGAUAUUACUCAGAACACCGAUUGCGAAGGCAUCUCACGAAGCAGAGAUUGACGCUGAGGCACGAAAGCGUGGGGAUCAAACAGGAUUAGAUACCCUGGUAGUCCACGCAGUAAACGAUGAUAACUAACCGUCGGCGAUAGACAGUCGGUGGCCAAGCGAAAGCGAUAAGUUAUCCACCUGGGGGAGUACGACCG